CCUACGGUGGGCAGCAGUAGGGAAUCUUCCACAAUGGGCGAAAGCCUGAUGGAGCAACGUCGCGUGGGUGAAGAAUGUCUUCGGAUCGUACAACCCUGUUGUUAGAGAAGUAAGUGCGUGAGAGUAACUGUUCACGUUUCGACGGUAUCUAACCAGAUAGCCACGGCUAACUACGUGCCAGCAGCCGCGGUAAUACGAAGGUGGCAAGCGUUAUCCGGAUUUAUUGGGCGUAAAGGGAACGCAGGCGGUCUGUUAAGUCUGAUGUGAAAGCCUUCGGCUUAACCGGAGUAGUGCAUUGGAUACUGGGAGACUUGAGUGCAGAAGAGGAGAGUGGAACGCCAUGUGUAGCGGUGAAAUGCGUAGAGAUAUGGAAGAACACCAGUGGCGAAAGCGGCUCUCUGGUCUGUAACUGACGCUGAGGUUCGAAAGCGUGGGUAGCAAACAGGAUUAGAUACCCGGGUAGUC
RNAcentral lists this ribosomal RNA (465 nucleotides) under uncultured bacterium. RNAcentral's name for it is "partial 16S ribosomal RNA". It matches the Rfam family "Bacterial small subunit ribosomal RNA", at positions 338 to 795 of the family's 1533-position model. The record is from RNAcentral.